CGAGCCGUCACUUGGCAGCUCUAGAACGGUCGCCGCCGCCACUCAGCCGCCGCACCGCAGCCCCCCUUCACUCUCGCGUUGCCCGCAAUCCACAGCCACCGCAGCCCGCGCGAACUCAUGCCCGGCCCGCCCUAGGCUGCCCCGGGCCCGAGGUACCCUCUUCCUGCCCGCGCCCAACUUCCUCGCUGCUUGCCCUCGCCGCCGCGCGUCCUUGCACCACCUCACGCCCUGGCUGCUGCCGCCGUUGAUCUGCGACGUCGCGCCCCCUUAUUGCCGCCACCCGGAGAGCCUCUCCCUAGUUGCCAGCUGCAUGCCACGAGCUCGCCACUACGGGACCUCGCCGCUGCCUCGACCUCGUCCCCACGGGCCACCGCCAGCCCCGAGAACCACCGGAUCCGGCGCCUCCGCGACCAAACCCGACCGGCCCGUGACUCCUCGAUGUCGCUCCGGCCUACUACGACCUCCCCACCGCCAAUUCCGUCAACUUCCCCCGCCGGCCGCUCCUCUAUCCAGCCCAACGUGAGCAGCUACGCCCAGAUUUUUUCAAAGUCUAAAACUGUCUGCGAAUUUCACCAUAUGUGCCUGUUACGGUGAUGAUAUUUUGCAAACUGUGCAUCCGUUUGAGAUGAAUUAUCUAUGAAAGUUGUACUACUCCAUGAGUUCUAUAGCAUGGAAGCAUUUGCAUGCAUACUAAUAUUCAUCUAACUACUCUUAAUGAUGUUGCAAAAGUGCAUCCCGUCGUAGUCGAUAAUCUGUUAAUUUUCUUCCAAGCUGCGUGGUUGAUUGCAAGUAAGGUGUAGGCCUUUUUGCAUGUGGUUUCUUCGCGAGAAUUUCUCUAGGAUAUGUCUACUUUGAUGCCAUUCCUUUGGUUACAAUUUAGAUUAUCAUUAAAAUGCUCAUUUGUUGCUCCCAAGGUGCUAUCAUGUUAAAAACUGCAAUCUGUUUUCGUUAAGUUUCAUUUUGCGAAACUCGAAUUAAGCAAACCAUGCCUCUUUUGAUUGUGAGUGAUGGAGUGAUUUGUAGUAGGCUAUGACUAGUUGCUGUUAGUAGGUUUCCCAUGCCAUGUAUGUCAUGCUUAGCUGUCGUUUUCAUUAUGUGAACAUGCUAAUAUGAUGUUGCUGUUUGGUAGGCUCAAAUAUUUCGAAGUGUGAGAAUCUGAUAUUUCAGCAUGCCAUAUUGUGUUGACGCUAGCUAUGAACGUGUGUACAUUUAGACCUUCCUAGUGUGGAAUGAAAUGAAGUGCAUCAUGCCUACUACCAUACUAUAAAUUUUCAUGCCAUUAUAUGCCCUCUAGCAUGUAUUUUUCUUGCUGCCAAUAUGCCAUCAUGAUAAAAACUGCACUGGUAAACUGAUAAUUUCACUAAGUCGGAAAUUAUGUUCAACUUGCCAUUUUUGAGCUCUUUUCCUAGUGCUUCAUACUUCUAAUAAAUUUUACAUUACGAGAUGCUUCGUGUGCAUCUUGUCCACUACUGCCUCAUGUCUUGUUUGAGCAUUUUAGAUUCCUGUAGCUUGUUGUUUUGGUGUGUAUAAAAUGUCAUGUUACUGUUUUUGGCAGAUUAUAGCUAUAUCUUGUAUUGCUUUUAAUUGUUGAACCGUUGCUCCGUUUUGAACAUGCCAUAUAUGGAACUUGCUUAGAAACUCAUGUAGUUUCAUAAUAUCUUGUUGCAUCCAUGAUUUAACAUGCUUGUGGGUGUCAUUUGCAUACAUAUUGCAUUCAUGGCAUAAUAUCUUGUGCCACUCAUAUCAUUUAGACCGUAGUUCCGAUUAUGAUGAUCUAUAUAUGUAAAUCGACUAGAAUGAUGUGUAGAUUCACAUGGUCUACUUUAUUUUUCUAUUUAUUAAAUAUAAAAUAUGUUUAGUACAUAUCUUGUCCAAUUUUGAAAUUAACACAUGGGGUCAUUUCGGAAAUGCUAUACGUUGUUUUCGACCUCAUUUAAAAAUGCAUAGAUAGUGUCGUUUAUUUAUGAUUCACAUCUUGACAUGUUUAACAAUAUUUUAUAUUGUCGUGUACCUAAAGGGAGUGAACUCGUUGCAUAUUGUGCUUCACUUAAUGUGUAGUGUUUGAUUAUUGUGAAUUGUCAUGACGUGCCUUGCAUAAUUAAAUCGGACAUGCAUCAUAUUUAUUUACGCAUCAUGUCAUGCAUAUGUUGUGGUGUUUAUCGUGUGUUGAUUGUUUGUUGCCGGAUUGUUUUUCUCGAUAGAGUUCCGAACCGCUUCGGGGUGUGAGGAUUCGUUCGACUACGUGGGUUCGUCUACUUCACGGAUCCGUUCUUCUUCCAAGCGAGAUCACAGUCAAGAUGAUCAUUGCACUAGAUACCACUACUAUCAUUGCCAUGCUAGUUGUCUUGUUUCUAUUGCUACGUCUCGGUGCCUACCACCUGUUAUGAUAAGCCUCCCAACAUUGCCAUGAAAAGCCUCCAAACCCUCCACAUCCCAGCAAACCCUUGUUUGGCUAUGUUACCAUUUGCUCAACCUUCUUACAGCGUUGCUAGUUGCAGGUGCAGAUGCUUUCCAUGUGACAACAUGGAUUCCUUGUUAUACCACCAUAUUAUUUCUAAUUAAAUUAAUGCACCUAUUUACUUUGUAAAAGGUGGAAGUCUUGAACUUCUAGCCCGACUUUUUGUUCCAUCUUUGCCUCCCUAGUUACUUGUGUACUGGUGUUAUGUUCC
This 2669-nucleotide long non-coding RNA is filed under the name Hordeum vulgare. RNAcentral describes it as "long non-coding RNA (HVUL_LNC016057)". Lineage: Eukaryota; Viridiplantae; Streptophyta; Magnoliopsida; Poales; Poaceae. The record is from RNAcentral.